This 208-nucleotide ribosomal RNA is filed under the name uncultured bacterium. Its description in RNAcentral is "partial 16S ribosomal RNA". It matches the Rfam family "Bacterial small subunit ribosomal RNA", at positions 568 to 774 of the family's 1533-position model. The record is from RNAcentral.
UGCGUAGGCGGGUCUUUAAGUCAGGGGUGAAAUCCUGGAGCUCAACUCCAGAACUGCCUUUGAUACUGAGGAUCUUGAGUUCGGGAGAGGUGAGUGGAACUGCGAGUGUAGAGGUGAAAUUCGUAGAUAUUCGCAAGAACACCAGUGGCGAAGGCGGCUCACUGGCCCGAUACUGACGCUGAGGCACGAAAGGCGUGGGAAGCAAACA